Molecule: ribosomal RNA, 492 nt
Filed under: uncultured bacterium
Lineage: Bacteria
Description: partial 16S ribosomal RNA
Rfam family: Bacterial small subunit ribosomal RNA
Source: RNAcentral
AGUGAACGCUGGCGGUGGGCCUAACACAUGCAAGUCGAACGGCAGCACAGUAAGAGCUUGCUCUUACGGGUGGCGAGUGGCGGACGGGUGAGGAAUACAUCGGAAUCUACUUUUUCGUGGGGGAUAACGUAGGGAAACUUACGCUAAUACCGCAUACGACCUACGGGUGAAAGCAGGGGAUCUUCGGACCUUGCGCGAUUGAAUGAGCCGAUGUCGGAUUAGCUAGUUGGCGGGGUAAAGGCCCACCAAGGCGACGAUCCGUAGCUGGUCUGAGAGGAUGAUCAGCCACACUGGAACUGAGACACGGUCCAGACUCCUACGGGAGGCAGCAGUGGGGAAUAUUGGACAAUGGGCGCAAGCCUGAUCCAGCCAUACCGCGUGGGUGAAGAAGGCCUUCGGGUUGUAAAGCCCUUUUGUUGGGAAAGAAAAGCAGCAGGUUAAUACCCCGCCGUUCUGACGGUACCCAAAGAAUAAGCACCGGCUAACUUCGUG